This 274-nucleotide ribosomal RNA is filed under the name uncultured bacterium. RNAcentral describes it as "partial 16S ribosomal RNA". It matches the Rfam family "Bacterial small subunit ribosomal RNA", at positions 523 to 796 of the family's 1533-position model. The record is from RNAcentral.
AUACGGAGGGGGUUAGCGUUGUGCGGAAUUACUGGUCGUAAAGCGCACGUAGGCGGACUGGAAAGUUGGGGGUGAGAUCCCGGGGCUCAACCCCGGAACUGCCUCCAAAACUUCCAAUCUAGAGAUCGAGAGAGGGGAGUGGAAUUCCAAGUGUAGAGGUGAAAUUCGUAGAUAUUUGGAGGAACACCAGUGGCGAAGGCGGCUCACUGGCUCGAUACUGACGCUGAGGUGCGAAAGCGUGGGGAGCAAACAGGAGUAGAUACCCUAGUAGUCC